Molecule: ribosomal RNA, 493 nt
Filed under: uncultured Eubacteriales bacterium
Lineage: Bacteria; Bacillati; Bacillota; Clostridia; Eubacteriales
Description: bacterial SSU rRNA
Rfam family: Bacterial small subunit ribosomal RNA
Source: RNAcentral
AGAGUUUGAUCCUGGACGUCAGGAUAAAACGCUGGCGGCGCACAUAAGACAUGCAAGUCGAAGGACUUAACCAUUAGUUUACUAUUGGAGCGGUUAGUGGCGGACUGGUGAGUAACACGUAAAGCAACCUGCCUAUCAGAGGGGAACAACAGUUAGAAAUGACUGCUAAUACCGCAUAUGCCUUAGUAUCGCAUGAUACAAAAGGGAAAGGAGCAAUCCGCUGAUAGAUGGGCUUGCGUCUGAUUAGCUAGUUGGUGGGGUAAAGGCCUACCAAGGCGACGAUCAGUAGCCGGACUGAGAGGUUGAACGGCCACAUUGGGACUGAGAUACGGCCCAGACUCCUACGGGAGGCAGCAGUCGGGAAUAUUGCGCAAUGGAGGAAACUCUGACGCAGUGACGCCGCGUGCAGGAAGAAGGUUUUCGGAUUGUAAACUGCUUUAGACAGGGAAGAAACAAGACAGUACCCGUAGAAUAAGCUCCGGCUAACUACGUG